Molecule: unclassified non-coding RNA, 201 nt
Filed under: Hevea brasiliensis (rubber tree)
Lineage: Eukaryota; Viridiplantae; Streptophyta; Magnoliopsida; Malpighiales; Euphorbiaceae
Source: RNAcentral
GUAAUGAAUGGUUGAUUGGAGAGAUGGGUGCUAACAGUGUUGAAUUUGAAGAUGAAUUGGUUUUUGCUGAUGAUAAUUUAACAUGGGGUGACGUGGCUAGGGCAUCUAGAGUUGGGGAAAUGAGGGCAAACACUAGACAACAAGCAAGAUCUCAAUCAAAUGCAUCAAGUUCAAAACUAGUAAAUAUUCAAGAAGAGACUG